Molecule: long non-coding RNA, 2032 nt
Filed under: Zea mays
Lineage: Eukaryota; Viridiplantae; Streptophyta; Magnoliopsida; Poales; Poaceae
Description: long non-coding RNA (ZMAY_LNC000733)
Source: RNAcentral
CCAUUUGCACCUGCGUGCAUGGUUCUUAGCCAUUAAGGGGUAACCACUGCCAUGAGAUGGUAAAUCCAUUUCGUGUACUUACAGAUGUUUCUUAUAUCCAUGUGUUUUAGGUCAAGAAGCUUAUCAAGGAUAAAAAGGAUGAUGCUAGAAUUUCUGAAUAUAUCGAUAUAAAUAAAGAGCUUCAAGAGAUGAGUUAAUUUCUUAUUUUAUCUUGUAAUGUGAUCCCUCAUGCUCAUGUAGCUACACAUUAGAUACGUUGGAUUAAUGAUACUCACAAAUGGAUGUUUGAUUUCUCCUCUGGUUUUGGGGAUGUUGCUAUCGAUUCCUCUCUUCUUUGUUACAAGGAGCUAUGCCCAGCACAAGGUAGCAUGAAAAAGGUUGCUUGCAACAUAAGAUUUGUUUGGGGGUUUAGAUUUUUUGUAACCUUGAAAGGUAAGAAGGUUAAUUAUGACGGUGGUAGGGACUGUCUGAACAACCCUAUUAAUAAUAAUGAACAAUAUGUAAAUAUUUAGUGUCUUUAAAGUUGGCCUUUACUUAUUGUUUGGACAAGAAAUCUGCCAGUAUUAUGCAGGGGAACAAUGCCAAAUUAUGAUCCACGAAAACAAAAUAAAAAGCUCUCCAGUUUAUGUUCAUAAUUUAACUUUUUUGAUACAUGAAAUGCGAAACAGAACUAAAUGCCAUAUGCAGUAAGUUCCUCCUGACAUCAUGUAUUAUUUGAGCCAUAACUACUUUGUUCUUUGAUGUAGAUAAAAGAGUUAAGUUGCUUGCGAUAAGCUCACAACCUGUGUUAUUUCAAGUUACAAAAAACCAUGUUACAUGUGAAAUAUGUAUCCAAUUCGAAAGUAUCAUAAAUAACAAAUCCAGCAAAGAUCCUGUGUAAACUGGAUUGUCCUUGCAAGCUCUUGAUAGCCACAUAAGUGUGAACCAGAUAAAAAACUGUUAUUCUACAUGCAGUUUAAUGAGGAAGCAUGGUCACCUUUUGUAAAGAAGUAAAGACUAUAGUUCAUCAUGGUGAGGUAAGGGUUAUUUUAUAUUGAAGUAAAGACGUGCAUGAACGCAAAAUGCAUUGCAAUGCUUGAGCUCUCAGUGAAUUGAAAUAACCCCCCAAUAGUAACCGAUCACCCCCUCAGGCAAAAGGAGGACACAGGCAUGUGUUACAUAUAUGCAGAGGAAAAACAAAGCAUAUGAGUUCAGCAUGUUAGUUUUUUUUUAUUACAAAUACACUAAAUGAGGAAAUAGCUAAUAAAUGGAUAGAUAAAAAGUGGUCUCAGUUUUAGGUUCCCUUCGAAGUAUAUCAUCUGCUAUUGGGUUAACCUAGGGUGCAUGCAGACAGCCAGUUGCACUAUGGCAUCUAAUGAUUUGUGUUUAUGGUGCCGAUUUUAGUUCCCCAUUCUGGUUGGGUUUAUCUGGGAGGUCUGCUCCCUAAGAGAAAGAACAAAAACAAAAGGAACCUAAAAAGAUUUCUGUUAUUACAUCCACGGUAUGGGUUGUAAUCUACUAUGUCUAUUUCUUUGGUUUUGAAAUUCUACUCUGAUAUCUAUAUCUAUACAUAGUAAGUGAAAUGUUGAGCCUUCAGGACAUCGGCUGCUACCACCUGAGGCUUUAAACUAAUCUCAAUCACUUCUACUUUUGCAUAUUGGUUUGGGUGCAGGACACAAUUGGUCGAAGCAAUGCUCGAGGCAAGAGGAUGGAAUUCCAUGAAACAGAGCAAAUGAACGAGGUUAGUAUCACCAUGGACUGUUCCCAAAUUUAGUAUUGCAGUGGACACAUUUAAUGGUAACUGUUGAUUCUGGUAAUGUGUCAGUUCAUAAGCCAAUGGUGUAGUUCGAAUGGGUUAGCCUAAUGAGGUAACAUAAUUAUUCUAAAAAAAUGUAUAGCCUCAGUAGCCUAAUUAGGUUAUUACUAAUGAUCUUCUUUAUCGAUCUUCUAUUCUUGAUAUUUUUUGUUCAAUCCAACAAGUGGCGUGUUUACAUGCAAAGAGCGGUUGCUAAAGGAUAGGAAGCUGAAGCUGGAUGAAGGAAGCAACUAUAUG